GCUGGUCUAGGUGGAUCUAGGCGGCGCUAGGUGGGUCUAGGCGGCACUAGGCGGGUCUGGCUGCCAAGGUGGGUCUAGCUGCCAAGGUGGGUCUGGUUAUUUUCUUUUGUUCUUUAAGCCUACCGCCUAGCGAUUUUUCAAACUUAUGCACUGCAGGCUGGUCUAGGCGGUGCUGAGAGGGUCUGGGCAGCGCUAGGCUGGUCUGAGAGGAGCUAGCAGGGUCUGGGCAGCGCUAGAUGGGUCUAGGCGGCACUAGGC
This 258-nucleotide long non-coding RNA is filed under the name Prunus persica (peach). RNAcentral describes it as "long non-coding RNA (PPER_LNC001643)". Lineage: Eukaryota; Viridiplantae; Streptophyta; Magnoliopsida; Rosales; Rosaceae. The record is from RNAcentral.